Molecule: ribosomal RNA, 253 nt
Filed under: uncultured bacterium
Lineage: Bacteria
Description: partial 16S ribosomal RNA
Rfam family: Bacterial small subunit ribosomal RNA
Source: RNAcentral
UACGUAGGGGGCAAGCGUUGUCCGGAAUCAUUGGGCGUAAAGCGCGUGUAGGCGGCCAGAAAAGUCCGCUGUGAAAACUCGAGGCUCAACUUCGAGCUGUCGGUGGAAACUUUCUGGCUAGAGUCCGGAAGAGGAGAAUGGAAUUCCUGGUGUAGCGGUGAAAUGCGCAGAUAUCAGGAAGAACACCAGUGGCGAAGGCGACACGCUGGGCCGUACCUGACACUGAUGCGCGACAGCAUGGGGAGCAAACAGG